This 367-nucleotide transfer-messenger RNA is filed under the name Saprospiraceae. RNAcentral describes it as "JABDLO01 sp013002995 Standard tmRNA". It matches the Rfam family "transfer-messenger RNA". Rfam says of the family: Bacterial tmRNA, also known as 10Sa RNA or SsrA, is named for its dual tRNA and mRNA-like properties. Lineage: Bacteria; Pseudomonadati; Bacteroidota; Saprospiria; Saprospirales. The record is from RNAcentral. RNAcentral also lists the same sequence under 1 other name.
GGGGCUGACUGGUAUCGACAGGAAAGUUGAUUGGUUAGUAAGCAUGCCGGAGCAUUGGCCUUACACUCCGUUAAUAAAUGAAGUCCAUAUAAUAAUUGGCGAUAGACAAUUCGCACUAGCAGCGUAAUCUAGGUAUUACAAAGCUUUUAAGCACUGUGGUUGAUGCCUGAUAUACAUCUCACUGCUUUCAAAUUUUCAGGUAAGGGUGCCGGAGGACUUCGGUCGGCAUUCGAGAUUAAGAAGUUAAGAUGAAGGUGUCGUCGUUUCUAUACCUACCUGAUUCCGACAAUCUGAAUAGAAACUAAGCAUGUAGAAAGCUCUCUGGUGCUUUGUCUGGACCCGGGUUCGAAUCCCGGCAGCUCCACUA